Molecule: long non-coding RNA, 2178 nt
Filed under: Linum usitatissimum (flax)
Lineage: Eukaryota; Viridiplantae; Streptophyta; Magnoliopsida; Malpighiales; Linaceae
Description: long non-coding RNA (LUSI_LNC007633)
Source: RNAcentral
UCAUCACACCAUCUCAAGAGAUCAAUAGUAUUCCUACUCGGAAUCUCAUCAACAUCCGACAUUAUCAACAGAUCAUCAUCCGAUAUCCCUGCAACUUUGAUAAGCUGGUCCAAAGCAACUCGCUGGUACGCUUCCUCAACAAAAGGAUUCUCACCCUUCUUGAACCUCCCACCAAUGGUGCCAUAUGUCAACCUAGGCUCAACAAACUUGAACUGCUCUCUAUGAUUAGCAAAAUACAAAAGCUUCUCAGUUCCAGUGAAGGUGGAAUUCGAUUCCAAGAGGAUGAACUGUGUAACAUAAGGGUAGAGCUCCUUCCACCGCAUCGUGAGGAUGUCCAUCUCAUUGCUGAACAACACGGCAUCAUAGACUCGCCUAGGGAACUCACGAAUCUUCCAUCCAUGGAGCUUGCAUAGAUUCUCCAUCGUGACAUUCUCGUUGUAGUAAUGUGGUAUCUCGUUGAAUCCUUUGGGAGGCGACUCCCAUAGUGGCCUAAGGAAGUAGGAGAUCUGCUGGCCGUGUAAGUAAACCCCAUAUACAACAGUUGGAACUAGAAUGAAGAAGAACAGUAAAGUCUUUAGGUCGAAUCCGCGGAGAAUGCACUUGAUUCGGGACAUGCUCAACACCCUUCCUGAGUCCUGGAAUCACAAAAGCAACAAAUCCACAUUCAGAACAAAGCUGAUUCAUUUCAGGUAAAGACAUGUUCUUUAUGGCCAUUGAAACUAUAUACAACAAGUCAGUAAGCUUUUAGAUUCUGAAACAGCUCACAAACGAGACCAAAUUGAAAGACCUUAGAUUAAAGAUUGAAGCUUUGCAUCUCAAAAAGCAAAUCUACAGAGCAAUCAGCAAGAGAAACCAAAUCCCUGAGCUCAAAAUUCUAUAUUGCUUGAGAAAUGAAACUUAAAUUGAAGAUCGAAAAGGGAAAUGAAAAGCUCAAUAGAAACAGAUCAAAUCAAACUCAUGUACAAAUCUGAAAAAAAAACAGAGAUUAGGGAAAAAGCCAAUCUCACCUGGCCACAAACAUCGGCACAGAUAUCAUCUGUCUUCUUGGAGCAGUAAUGGCCGCCAUUCUCCCCCCUCAUCCACACCCCUUUUUUGACAGCCAGCCCAAAUACGAGNNNNNNNNNNNNNNNNNNNNNNNNNNNNNNNNNNNNNNNNNNNNNNNNNNNNNNNNNNNNNNNNNNNNNNNNNNNNNNNNNNNNNNNNNNNNNNNNNNNNNNNNNNGCUUGGCUGUAAUAGUGGCAAAUCCACUGGAGAAGUUCGUAUCUUGCAUUUGAAGUAACCGAGAUGCACACCCUUUACAUUGGGUCACCCACUUUCUCUCAAACAAUGUCCAGGCAAUAGGAACUUGUAGUCAUCAGCAUUCUCCAAGAGAAAGGAUGGUAAAUGCACUGCCGAAUACGAAUGAGGAACCGGUCCCAUCUUUCCGAUAAUCUCCUUGAAAGUAUACUCCUCGGGGAGCAUAUCGAACAAGUCCGAACCUUUACAUAUCACCUUCUGGAUUCUCUUGGGGUCCAAGUAACGCUUGAACCUCACCCUGUCAAAGUGACUAUAAGCCUUCAUCUUGAACACAAACUCGCUCACACGACGAAAGCAGAAGCUACAAUGCCACCCGGCAUCUGCCAGAAUAUCAUCCGCCUGUCGAUAGUGAGCAUACCUCGUCUUCCCCAUCUUGUACCUAUGCACAGAAGCCCUCCAACUAUUGUUAUCCACGAGAAACUCGAACGAGUAGAGAUAGUUCCUCAACCGGAGAUGAAGCACCUGAGGUAUAUCAUCACACCAUCUCAAGAGAUCAAUAGUAUUCCUACUCGGAAUCUCAUCAACAUCCGACAUUAUCAACAGAUCAUCAUCCGAUAUCCCUGCAACUUUGAUAAGCUGGUCCAAAGCAACUCGCUGGUACGCUUCCUCAACAAAAGGAUUCUCACCCUUCUUGAACCUCCCACCAAUGGUGCCAUAUGUCAACCUAGGCUCAACAAACUUGAACUGCUCUCUAUGAUUAGCAAAAUACAAAAGCUUCUCAGUUCCAGUGAAGGUGGAAUUCGAUUCCAAGAGGAUGAACUGUGUAACAUAAGGGUAGAGCUCCUUCCACCGCAUCGUGAGGAUGUCCAUCUCAUUGCUGAACAACACGGCAUCAUAGACUCGCCUAGGGAACUCACGAAUCUUCCAUCCGUGGAGCUUGCA